GAGACUCUGUGCGCGUGCAUAUCAAUAAGCGGAGGAAAAGAAACUAACUAGGAUCCCUUAGUAACGGCGAGUGAAGCGGGAAGAGCUCAAAUUUGAAAUCUUCAAGGUUUUACCUUGACGAAUUGUAGUUUAAAGAAGUGUUUUCUGUUGAAGUUUCGGUAAAAGUUCUUUGGAAUAGGACAUCAUAGAGGGUGAGAAUCCCGUAUUUGACCGUUAUUUUCAGCUGUGUGAUACACUUUCAAAGAGUCGGAUUGUUUGGGAAUGCAGUCCAAAAUGGGUGGUAAAUUUCAUCUAAAGCUAAAUAUUGGCGAGAGACCGAUAGCGAACAAGUACCGUGAGGGAAAGAUGAAAAGAACUUUGAAAAGAGAGUUAAACAGUACGUGAAAUUGUCAAAAGGGAAGCGUUUGACACCAGUGUUGUUUUCUCGAAAAUCAAUUAAAAAUAACUUGAUUUUGUGUUGUAUUGACCUUAAAAGCUUUCUUCACUCUUUUCCUGUUAUUUUUAAUGCACUUUUCGUUUAACAAGUCAACAUCAGUCUCUUUUGUUGUAAAAAGGUCAUUGGAAGGUGGCUUUCUUUUCGGAGAAAGUGUUUAUAGCCUUUGACUCCUGCAAUCGGAGAGACUGAGGUCUGCAGCGUAGAUCCUUUUUUGGAUUAGAUUCAUUUGUGCUAAGUUAUAGCUUUUUAUAGACAACAUGUUGACUAUAUUUAGUCUUGUAACUUACUCGCUUAUGUAAUUUUACCUACGCUUAGGAUGUUGAAGAUGUAGCACAUCAU
RNAcentral lists this ribosomal RNA (775 nucleotides) under uncultured Neocallimastigales. RNAcentral's name for it is "partial large subunit ribosomal RNA". It matches the Rfam family "Eukaryotic large subunit ribosomal RNA", at positions 23 to 635 of the family's 3401-position model. Lineage: Eukaryota; Fungi; Neocallimastigomycota; Neocallimastigomycetes; Neocallimastigales. The record is from RNAcentral.